CAUCAUCAUCAUCUUCCCCAACAAUUCCUCAUCUCUCUGUAUAUAUAUAUAUAUAUACCCCAUUUCAUUUCUAGCCCAGACAAACAAUGGUCUUGUCUUCAGUGUACUCAGCUUUUUAGGCUAUAACAGUGGGCAAGAGAGAGCACCUGACUAUAUUAAAACUAAAUAAAGAGUUAUGUAAAAACCAUAAUCCCAGGUGCGACAAUUUUUUCGAAUUAUACAACCGAGUCGCUUGUUCAAUACAAUUUAAGAAAAGAAACUGCAAAAGAGACACAAACCUAAUUGGCAAUUUAUUUUAUAUGGUAGCAUUUACAGUUUUGAUCUUUUUACCACCAAAAGAAUGCUUAGGUGGUAUCUCUCUACCAUAUAGUGAUUCCCUUAGCUGAGUUAAAACCUGGUUUUCCUUCCCCCAACCCAUGUAGCUGCUUCCCUCCUCGUUACGCGUCUUUCAAACCUGUUUGUUUCGAUUAAAAAGACAAUCAUGUAUAAGAUAUGACAACUGCACGUAUCCAACAAUAUUUCUUACGUAAAAGAGAUAAAUGUAAUUAAAUCUAAGUAUCAUCUACAGCUGAGCGUUAUAGUCAUAUAUAUACAUAUGUAAAUUUUCAUACAGGUAACAAUGAAAUGAAGUUUCAACACAGCAAAACAUGCAUCCUUCUAACUAAAAAUCAUAAGAAAAGAUAAUUCACUGGCCUUAUUUGAAGAUGAGGCAUACCGAACUAGCCAUGGAAUCAUCUUCCUACAGGAUACUAAUUAUUCUUUAACCCAUUCAGCAACAAAGGUUAAAAAUUAGAGGAAUAUUCAUAUGAUCAUCACUGAAUUGUAAUCAAACUUAAAAGUGCAAUGCAUACAGUUAAAGAGCAUAUGAAUAUUGUCUUUCUUUUUUCUUUGGUCCCAAAUUGAAGUUGUUAGUUAUUAACAACUCCAGCAUCAUAAUG
Molecule: long non-coding RNA, 938 nt
Filed under: Carica papaya (papaya)
Lineage: Eukaryota; Viridiplantae; Streptophyta; Magnoliopsida; Brassicales; Caricaceae
Description: long non-coding RNA (CPAP_LNC013569)
Source: RNAcentral